CAUAAUCCUACAAAAUACUUAUCAGAAGUGACUAGAUUUGGUUACGCAUUACGAAAUCGUGUCCAUUGUAUGAAUGAAAUUACUCUUCCUUUUAAAAAACACUCAUUUAUUCAUAAAAGAAUCGGAUUUACCCACGAUGAAGUAAACACAGGAUGACAUUCAGGUGCAGUUUGUUUCCCGAGGUCCGUUCCUCAUAACUCAGCAGGAUGGUCGUGUGAGAGCCGGAUAUACUCCUCAGCGUUGAAAUGAGGGGUUCCAGCGACUGAAAUUAGAGUAGACGAUUACCAAAACUUAAAUAUUAUAAUGCAUGAUUAUAAUAAAUAUUUGUAAAGUCCAUCAAAGAAACCUUAACAAAAUGAUGAUGAUAUAAAUACAGGAUCCAUAACAUCUUCACUGCAACAUUUAUGCUUACUGUCACAUAGUUUUCCCAGCGUAAUAAGGAGACCGAAGUUUAGAAGUACAUGUGGAAAAUUUCUUGUUAUAUUACCAAUAAACAAGAUUGAGAAGGUUGCACAAAGAGAAUAGCAAGAAAAUUAGUUGCUAUAGCUUGGUAUAAAGUGGAGACUCAAAAUAUCGACAAAUAUGAAAAGCUCAUUAGUUCUCAUAAUCCCUACUUUAUUCUAGAGGGUACCAUCAACACGAUUAAUGUCUGGUUGAUCACUGGCAUAUGAAUCUUGAGGGUGGUUCCUAACAUGAUCAUAAUGGCUGCUUUAUUCUAAAGGGUAUCGUCAACACAGUUUCUGUCUGACUUGAUCACAGCCACUGGAAUCUUGAAACUGGUACCUAUCGCUGAAUACCCAAACACCUCCAGGUUUCUUGGCUGUCUUCAAAUGUCUGUCCUGGCUAGUAACACAAAAUAACGAUAACAUGUAAAAAAAAAAACUGCAGACUCCAAAGUGCAUCUAGUCACCAAUAAGUCAUACUACCUCUCCUGAUCUCCUGAGGUCUUCAUGACUCAUCCAAUGGAAAAGGGUAAUUUUAACUUGAAAAGUUCUGAGAGCUGAAACACAUAAACUUAUCUCUCUCAUCCCUUGCCACGCUCUGGUUUAGACAUAGUAACUGGUUGCUAAGUGAAGUAUAUGUUCAUUUGUAGCUUCAUCAGCUCAUGUUCACAUAUCAAGGAUUUUACUGGAACUCUGUGAUAUCUGAUAAUGGUGCAGUUCAUUUAUUCAGCGUCUCCUUAAAUGUAUCAGCAGCUAUACCAAACGUUCAAAUUUGGUGAAGUUCAACAUGCUGUAAAGCAAAUUGAGAAUGACCAUCUGGAACUACCCAACAACUGGAUUUCAUAGGAGAGUAACACCUACAGCGUACCUUAUGCAUUUUACUGCAGACAAUGCUUAGGUUCUUUUUAAUGUUUCUGUAGCUGUCAAAGCUUUCAGCUUGUCUUUCAUGUGGUAUUCAGUCUCAUUAUCUUCAUUAUAUCAAGGUGUCCUGCUACCAACCAUUCAUUUCUUGUGGUCUUUACAUCUUUGGAGCAUUGAAAUUACAUUAGCCCCACUAACCAAGUCCGCAUCCGCUGAUAACCAGGGACUGCCUGUGCUACUUGAUACACCAAGCAGUCCCACCCACUAUCUCUUCUCAGUCAGUCCUGUGUGUCUUUCAGGAUUCACAUCCGCAGUAAGUGACCCUUGUUACGCCGCCAUGACUGUUGUCCUCUUUAGCUACAACAAAAAAGGGAAGCCCUAGCUCCUUCAGAAACACAACCCAAAAGAAAACAGAACAUGAGUCUUAAAACAGUUACCUAACUCCUGGGAGACACAAGAACCAUAUGAUACAGAACAGAAGGCUCUGUCCAUGAUUCGUCUGACACGGGAUGAAAUCAAACAAACCCAUACACAAAAUUCUCUUUUACUCCUUCCCCAACCAACUGAGCCACGGAAGUGUGGGAAUGCUCAAGAAUAUGCCAUAUUCUUUCAUUGGUUACCCAGAAUAAAAACUAACCCGACUCAAAUAUUUUUACAUUAUAUAACAUGCUCCCUGAAUGGAGUAUGCAAUAACAUUCUGAAGAAGGCAGCACUCCUUCCAAAUAGUAUUUAAAACCGUACCUCUUUAUAUUUUACUGUCUUAUUUAGCAUAAAGGGCAAUGAGGAUUGGUAGCCAACACUUUAAGCAUAUAUACCACUGACUUUGCACAUUAACCACUAUAUAACUUUAUCAUGUGGAUAAACAUAAAAAAGAAAGGGUAAAAAAGAUCAGAUUUCAUGUCUUUUGCACAGCACACAUCAGCCAAACUAUGCUGAUGCUGUGUAUGUAAUUAUGAGUAAGAGGAUACUCUAUGUUGAGUAAUAAUCACCUAUCACUCAUGACUCCCUUUAGCUAACUCAACUUUUUUGUUGGAUACCACAGCACAAUGCUAGGGAAGUAUGCAAGUAAAAUAAGUCUGAACAUUGUACAGUAGUAUAGGUAAUUUCUUUUAAUCAACCCAGAAAACAAGAAAGUAAAAUAAGUUUGAACUUAUACAAUAAGUAUACAAUAAGUAAAAUAAGUUUAAACGAUGUACAGUAUUGGUAAUUUCUUUUAGUCAACCCAGACAACAAGAAAGUGCAAAGUUAUUGAUAUCCCAUAAAAAAAAAAAAACUUACAGUAUGAGGAGACAUGAAACAGACAAAGGAAAUGCAACAAGUAUAGUAAGAUGACUGGUGUAUCCAUCUUAAGAACCAAACAUGCCGAGAUUGGAAUCAGUUUGUGCUAAAGGAUAGGCAUUUUCAUUGUCGUGCUAAAUGAUGCCACUCCGCAAUAACCUCAAUCAAAAGCAGUUUUGGUCUGAAACCCACCACAAAUGGCAAUGAAGACUUCUGUUAAAUCAGAGGUUUGUAAAUACUUAAUAGACACAAUCAUUUCUGAUAAUUAUUCUUUAAAGUAAACCUGAAAAUUUCAUUAAUAAUGACACUAGUUACGAGUCAUACAAAAAUUCUACAAAAAUACAUCAAUGAAAACUUGGUGAGUGUUCUUACCUGUUCAUAGUAAAUACAAUCUGCAACGAGAAUGACUUUGGGUUUAUCGAUGGCAUCCAUGUGUUCUUUGUUGCCCCAUUCCAAAACCUUAGCUUUCACCUGGUCUUGUAUUAUGUGGCGAUUCUCCUUGAUAUUUUUCUCCAUCAAGUGGACAAAUUCUGGAAGAUCAGUAAUGGUUACCUGUGAAGCCCUAGAAAAAAAAAACAAUAAAAAUCAAUUCUACAUAAUAACUGUUCAAACAAUACUGUAUUCCCUAAAAUAUAUAUACAGCAAUCUUA
Molecule: long non-coding RNA, 3232 nt
Organism: Macrobrachium nipponense
Lineage: Eukaryota; Metazoa; Arthropoda; Malacostraca; Decapoda; Palaemonidae
Exons: 2
Source: RefSeq, a predicted model, not a curated record